ACACGACUACAUUAGACUACCCCCGUAGUCCCAGCCCUAAACGAUGCGCGUUAGGUGUAUCGGUGACCACGAGUCACCGAGGUGCCGAAGGGAAACCGUGAAACGUGCCGCCUGGGAAGUACGGUCGCAAGGCUGAAACUUAAAGGAAGUUGGCGGGGGAGCACCACAACGGGUGGAGCCUGCGGUUUAAUUGGACUCAACGCCGGGAAGCUCACCGGAUAAGACAGCGGAAUGAUUGCCGGGCUGAAGACCCUGCAUGACCAGCUG
RNAcentral lists this ribosomal RNA (267 nucleotides) under uncultured archaeon. Its description in RNAcentral is "partial 16S ribosomal RNA". It matches the Rfam family "Archaeal small subunit ribosomal RNA", at positions 717 to 982 of the family's 1478-position model. The record is from RNAcentral.